Molecule: ribosomal RNA, 300 nt
Filed under: Triticum aestivum (bread wheat)
Lineage: Eukaryota; Viridiplantae; Streptophyta; Magnoliopsida; Poales; Poaceae
Description: partial small subunit ribosomal RNA
Source: RNAcentral
AUGACUUCUCAUUCGAUGACAGAGUGGAAGAAAAAUUCCCGGAUAUGCAUCCCCAAAUGUGCAUUGCAUCCAGUAAUUACAUUGCUGCAAACUUCAAUUGCAACUGUACGAAAAAGUGAAAUGAAAAAAAGUUGGGGCAACCCCAACGCCGCUAAACGUCUAGAUAACGAAUAUUUUCUGCCAUCUAGCGAUGUUCAUCAAAACCCAACUAAGCAUCUGGACAACAAAUAUUUUCUGCCAGAGCCAUGCAUUAAACGUCCACUGACCAGUCCGGAUGUUCGAAUUCCCACCAAGCCAUAA